AUGGCAAGGUGGAUCAAGAAAGGAGUGAAUAUCAGGAUCACCAAACAAUGCAACCUGCCACUUCCUUUGGGCAAGCAUUAUCGCUCAAAUGUGUGUGAUGUGGUUGACAUGGAUGCCAGCCAUGUUCUUCUUGGGAGACCUUGGCAAUUUGAUGUGGAUACUACACACAAGGGCAGGGUAAAUUCUUGCUCUUUCAUUUGGAACAAGAGAAAGAUCAUUAUCUUACCAAACAAAACCGAAGGUAAUACCUCUGAGGAGGGGAAAACUAUGUUAACUAUCUCCCAUACCUCUCAUGAGUUUAUGGAAGACUUGAAGGAGGCAGAUUUGUGUGUUGCACUUGUUGUAAAAGGAGAUGAGCACCUGACUGUUGAAAUUCCAGCAAAGUCUUCCUAA
This 393-nucleotide ribosomal RNA is filed under the name Triticum aestivum (bread wheat). RNAcentral's name for it is "partial small subunit ribosomal RNA". The record is from RNAcentral. Lineage: Eukaryota; Viridiplantae; Streptophyta; Magnoliopsida; Poales; Poaceae.